RNAcentral lists this long non-coding RNA (246 nucleotides) under Elaeis guineensis (African oil palm). RNAcentral describes it as "long non-coding RNA (EGUI_LNC008755)". Lineage: Eukaryota; Viridiplantae; Streptophyta; Magnoliopsida; Arecales; Arecaceae. The record is from RNAcentral.
AGACACCUCAAAACCGUUUGUAAAUGAAUGCAGACACCUAGCCUAAAUGCCACAUAUCCAUGGAAGAGCAAGAUAUUCUAAACCAUAGAAUGUGGUGUUGGAGCAGGAUUUUAAAAAUUAUCGAUAUAAUUUAAAAGAUAAAAUAAAAUGAAUAAAAUUUUAUUAUAGAAAAAUUAUAAAAAACUUUCAAAAUAAUAAGAAAUAUAAAUGAUCAAACUGAAAGCAUGCGAGGCAGUGUCUUAAGGC